CAGCUGAGGGGAGUUGUGUCUCCUCAGGUACCGCUGGGGCUGCGGCUGGGACGCUGGGCUCAGCGUCUCUGCUGACAGGAGCUCGGUCUCCUCAGGACUCGUUGGGGUUUCGGCUUCAGGACAACGUGGGGCUGCUUCCUCGCUGACGGGAGCUGGGUUUCCUGAGGACGCAGGCGACGCCGGCGGAUAAGGUGAUCCACAGGACCCACGACAUGGUAGCUACUAAUAUACUCUUCCCACGGUGUCUCUUAAUAUCAUGUGGACUCCUACAAGGGAAAUAAGUAUCACAACUUUGGUUGAACUUGGUCUGGUCUCAGAUUUACCUGAUGGUCACCACUCACAGUUCCCGCAGAGCCCAGAGAUUUCUCCUUGAAGGAAAGGUUCUGGAAAAUCAGAGGGAUAAAUAAAGAAUGCAGCUGAUUCCCGCCUUGUGCUGACGCCCAAGAGGGUGAGGAGAGCCAUGAGGCAUGUGGGAUCUUAGCUCCCUGCCCAGGGAUCAAACUGGCAUCCUCUGCAUUGGAAGACAAAGUCUUAACCACUGGACUGCCAGGGAAGUCCCCACAUUCCUGUAUUGCUGAACUUGAAUUUCUGAGCUAUGUCAGACUCGAAAUGCCACUAGCCAUUCUCAAAACAAUGUCUGCUGGUAGCUGCAACUGUACGUUUUCAAGGACUCCUCUCUUAACUAUUAAAUUUUAAACAAUGACGUUAGAUCAGAUACUAAUAGAAAGAUGAGACAUAUGUGUAGUGGUCAAUAGCUCCUGUUAUGGAUAUGUUAAUACUACAUCAGAAGUUAAAACCUACUUAGGUAAAAUUAGACAACUGGCUACAAAGUCUCUCCGAAGUGCCAGUUCCAGACUGGGUUUCAGACUUAUUCUCCUGAAUUCCUAAGGAAAUGAGAUCUACUUUUACUAUUAAAGUUUCAGUUGUUACCCCUCCUAUUUUAACUGGGUUGGUUGCACCAAAAUGGCAGACCAAGGGAUUGAGAUCUUAAUCAUACGAGUCUCAGAUCCAGGACUUGGAACUCAAAUAUUUGUAAUUUGGUAUCCAUUCCCCCAGAUUUAGGCAGGACGACCCCCUGCCCCCAAUUUCAGCAGGAAGUAGCCAGAGCAGUUGUUGCCCCGUUGCCUGAAAGAUGUGGGGAAAGAUAAAACUGAAGUGGGGAUUAAAACUGAGUCCCCUUAAAACCGAGGAGGAGUUAAACUGAGCGGGACUUUGUGGGUCUCCUGGGCACAGAAGCCUUUCUGCGUGCCUCCGAAGUUGUUUGUAGGGAAUAGACUAGACACUCCAGGACCUUCCCUGAGUUCCAAAGGGCAGAUUCGAACAGUUGCUAAUCAGGGAAGGGAGGGGAUGCAAAGACAGGGAGGAACAGUCAAGAAACAAUAGUGCAGCCUUGAGGCAGGGUCCUGCUUCUGCCUCAAGGGAUACACAUAACAAUAUUUUUGAGCUCCUUAAGGAACUAAAACCCCCAACAAAUGGAAGAUGUUAGCAUUCUUCAUUCCAGAGAAGCUCAUCAAGAGACUAUCUGAGGCCAGAUUAAAGGAGUGCAGGCCCUGUAUACACCCUGAUCCUUAUCAGCAACCACACCCUUGAACCAUUGCUAUAAAACACCUCACCAAAUCCUCCUGCACUGGGACUCACAGUUGUUGAGGGCACAAGCCUGCUAUGUCCUCCAUUGGCUGGCAGAGUGAUCAAACUAAUCUUUUCUAUUUCUUCCAAAACACUGUUCUUGAGAUUCGGUUCAAAACCGGUGCAGAGAGGCUGCUUAUUCAGUAUCAGUUAGGUACAGAGUCAGGCAGUUUGUUAGAAACAGUGUCAGGUCUUUAGUUAUGGAAAGCCUCAGGGAAUUAGGGAGGGACAGACCAAGAUAUUAUGGACAGUGUCAGAGCCUUAGUUAGGGAGAGUGUCAGGGCAUGACGUAGGACCAGCAUCAGGACCGUAGUUAGGAUCAGCAUCAGGGUCUUAGUUAAAGACAUUGCCAGGACCUGAGUUAAGCACAGCAUCAGGGCCUCCAUUAGGGACAGGGUCAGUGCUUGAGUUAGGGACAGCCUCAGGGCCUGAGUUAGCGAUGGCCUCAGGGCUUACUUAGGGACAGUGUUCGGACUUUGGUGAGAGUUGCCUCAUGACAUUACCUAAGGGUAGUGUCAGGACUUUAGUUAUUGACGGCAUCAGGGCCUAUGUUAGGGACAGCUUCAGGGCCUUAGUUAGGACCAGUGUCAGGGCUUGAGUUAGGGACAACAUCAGGGCUUGAGUCAGGGACAACAUCAGGGCCUGAGUUAGGGACAGCAUCAUUGCCUGAGUUAGGGACAGCAUCAUGGCCUCUGUUAGGGACAGCAUCAGGGUCUUAGUUAAAGACAUUGUCAGGUCCUGAGUUAGGCACAGUGUGAGGGUUUACUUAGGAACAGUGACAGGACUUUGGUAAGAGAUGCGUCCCGACAUUAGCUAAGGAUAGUGUCAGGACCUUAGUUACUGAUGGUACCAGGGCCUAUGUUAGAAACAGCUUCAGGGCCUUAGUUAGGACCAGUGUCAGGGUCUUAGUUAAAGACAUUGUCAGGGUCUGAGUUAGGCACAGUGUGAGGGCUUACGUAGGGACAUUGACAGGACAUUGGUAAGAGAUGUGUCAGACAUUAGCUAAGGAUAGUGUCAGGACCUUAGUUAUUGAAGGCACCAGGGCCUAUGUUAGGACCAGCUUCAGGGCCUUACUUAGGGACAGUGUCAGGACCUUAGUUCAGAACAUCAACAGGGCUUAAAGCACAGCGUCGGGGCCUUACUUAGGGACAAUGUCAGGGCCUAGUUAGGACUAGCGUCAGGGCCUUAGUUAGGGACAGCAGCAGGGUCUUAAUUAAAGACAUUGUCAGGGCCUGAGUUAGGGACAGGGUCAGGGCCUGAGUUAGGGACUGUCAGGGCCUGAGUCAUGGACAGCUUCAAAGCCUCAGUUAGGGACAGUGUCAGGGCUUACAUAGGGACAGUGUCAGGACCUUGGUAAGAGAUGCAUCAGGAUAUUAGGUAAGGAUAGUGUCAGGACUUUAGUUAUUGACAGCAUCAGGGCCAAUGUUAGGGACAGCUUCAGGGCCUUAGUUAGGACCAGUAUCAGAGCCUGAGUUAGGCCUAGCAUCAGGGUUUGCGUUAGGACUAGCAUUAAGGCCUUAGGUAGGGACAGGCAGGGCCUGAGUUAGGAGUAGCUUCAGGGCCUUUGUUAGGGAAAGCAUCAGGGCUUUUGUUAGGAUCAGAGUCAUGACAUUAGCUAGGGACAGAGUCUGGGAAAGAGCUAGGGAUAGUGUCAGGAAGUGAGCUAGGAAUAGUGUCAAGAUGUUAGUUAUUGAGAGCAUCAGGGCCUGAGUUAGGACCAGCAUCAGGGCUUGAGGUAGGGACAGAGUCAGAGCCUGAGUUAGGGACAGCCUCAGGGCCUGUGUUAGGGACAGCCUCAGGGCCUUAGUUAGAGACAGAGUCAGGACCUGAGUUAGGGACAAUGUCAGGGCCUCAGUGAGGCCUAGCGUCAGGGCCUUAGCUAGGAUCAGCAUCAGGGUCUUAGUUAAAGACAUUAUCAGGGCCUGACUUAGGCAGAGCGUCAGGGCCUCAGUUAGGGACAGCUUCAGAGCCUGUGUUAGGUACAGCAUCAGGGCCUCACUUUGGGACGGCAUCAGGACUUUAUUAGGGACAGUGUCAGGACCUUGGUAAAAGAUGCAUCAGGACAUUAGCUAACGAUAGCGUCGGGACUUUGUGACAACAGCAGGGCCUAUGUUAGGGAGAGUCUCAGGACCUUAUAGGGACAGCGUCAGGGCAUGAGUUAGGACUAGUGUCAGGGCCUGAGUUAGGACUAGCAUCAAGGCUUUAGUUAGGGACAGUGUCAGGGCCUGAGUUAGGACUAGCAUAAGGGCCAUAUUUAGGGACAGCAUCAGGGCUUUAGUUAGGAUAAGAAGCAGGACAUUAGCUAGGGACAGCAUCAGGUUAAGGGCUAGGGAUAGUGUCAGGAAAUGAGCUAGGGAUAGUGUCAAGACCUUAGUUAUUGAGAGCAUCAGGGCCUUAAUUAGGACCAGCGACAGGGCUGAUGUAGGGACAGUGUCAGAGCCUGACUUAGGGAGAGCAACAGGGCCUGAUUUAGGGACUUCGUCAGAGCCUGGGUUAGGGACCAUGUCAGAACCUGAGUGAAGCCGAGUGUCAGGGCCUGAGUUAAAACUAGCAUCAAGGCCUUCGUUAGGGACAGUGUCAGGGCAUGUCAUAGGAGCAGCAUCAGGGCCUUUUUUAGGAGCAGCAUCAGGGUCUUAGUUAAAGACAUUAUCAGGGCCUCAGUUAGGGACAGCUUAAGGGCCUGUGUUAGGUACAGAGUCAGGACCUCUAUUAGGAACCUCCUCAGGGCUGUACCUAGGGACAGCGUGAGGGCUUACUUAGGGACAGUGUCAGGACCUUGGUAAGAGAUGGGUCAGGAUAUACGCCCAGGAUAGUGUCAGGACUUUAGUUAUGAUGGCAGCAGGUCUUUUGUUAGUGACAGCUUCAGGGCCUUAGUUAGGGACAGUGUCAGGGCCUGAGUUAGGAGUAGCAUCAAGGCCUUAGUUAGGGACAGUAUCAGGGCAUGACUUAGGAGCAGCAUCAGGGCUUUCAUAGGAUCAGCAUUAGGGUCUUAGUUAAAGACAUUAUCAGGGCCUGAGUUAGGCACAGCGUCAGGGCCUCAGUUAGGGAUAGCUUCAGGGCCUGUUAGGGACAGCGUCAGGGCUUACUUAGGGACAAUAUCAGGAUCUUGGUUAGAGAUGGGUCAGGAUAUUAGCUCAGGAUAGUGUCAGGAAUUUAGUUAUUGCCGGCAGCAGGGCCUAUACUAGGGAUAGCUUCCAGGCUUAGAGACAGUGUCAGGGCCUUAGUUAGGACUAGGCAGGGCCUGAGUUAGGAGUAGCAUCAGGGCCUUAGUUAGGGACAGUUCAGACAAAAAUAAAGAUACUCAUUUGUGGACAACAUGAAUGUUUAUACCUUUCAGUGACUCAUCUUUGCCAUCCUUCCAAAAGCUUGCUACAUUUAAGAAAUGUUAGCUACAUUGUCAUAGUUAUGUAAAAGGUAACUAAGAUUAAGAGAUCAGAUGCAGAGUUGGUGUGGGGAGGAAUGAUGCCUAUGUACGGAUGGUCACAUUUUUAAGUGGAAGAAUUAAAAAGGGGAACUGUAACUUUCACGUCUUAUCCAAACAGAGGUUUCUGCUGACAUCAAUAGAACCCUUAUUUUACCAGCAAUGCAGUUGAGCACAUAUACUAACAGUAAAAGGGUUAUAUUGUAUUUUACUCGAUUGAAAGGAAAAAGGGGACAGCACUGCUUCGCACCCGUUAACAAUGUGAUAUCAAAAUGGAAACACGUCUUUUAGGAUGAAGUCUAAUAAAUAAUUGAGAACCAC
Balaenoptera ricei (Rice's whale) is the source of this 5368-nucleotide long non-coding RNA. RefSeq lists it as uncharacterized. NCBI's taxonomy places the organism in Eukaryota, Metazoa, Chordata, Mammalia, Artiodactyla, Balaenopteridae. The transcript has 4 exons. The record is from RefSeq and is a predicted model, not a curated record.